Molecule: long non-coding RNA, 6592 nt
Filed under: Populus trichocarpa (black cottonwood)
Lineage: Eukaryota; Viridiplantae; Streptophyta; Magnoliopsida; Malpighiales; Salicaceae
Description: long non-coding RNA (PTRI_LNC004047)
Source: RNAcentral
UCGAAUGCUUGGUUCUCAGAGGAGCUUGAUUCAACAAGGCAGGAGAGGUUGAAAUGGGUCCGGGAGAAUUAUAUGGUAUACAAUUACUGCAAAGAUGUCAAUAGAUUUCCCCAAGGUCUACCUACAGAAUGCAGCAUGUCCUAGAAAGAAGACGUCCUUGCAUUACCUCCGGAAUGCAGCAUGUCCUUGCAUUACUGCAAAGAUGUCAAUAGAUUUCCCCAAGGUCUACCUCCGGAAUGCAGUAUGUCCUAGAAAGAAGACGUCCUUGCAUUACCUGUCCAAGUUUUGCCACAUAAGAUAUUCAAUUAGUUUUUGUAAUUUAGGCAAUUAAUCAAUUGGUGCAAUUCUUUAAUUCUUUUCAUCAAUCAAUUGUUUUUAAUGUAAUAUGAAUCCGUAGUAUUUCGAUGAAAGUAAAAAGUAUUCCUGGCUUUCUCCUAAGCUCUAGAUUAGAAGAAAAUUUAGAAAGGAAAAACAAAGGUUUAAAACCAGUAAUUAAUGCUAGAAAAUAAAGUAAAGAAGAUUGUCAAAUUUAUAAAAACAAUACAGAAUUAACCAAUCUCAAAUACUCUACUUCAAUCCCUUUUUUAUAAAAAAAUUUAGAAACUAAAAGUUGAUAGAUUUACUUCAUUAACAACUUUUAUUACCAAUAAUAAACCAAAAUCAAACCUAAAUGUUUUUUUUUUUAUUUAAACCAGGUGUCUUUUGAACUAAAAGAUCUAUUCAAAUUUUAAAAAACUGUUAUGAAAAAACUAAUCAAUUCUUUCCAUUCAAGGGAUUGACAAAACAAUGGGCAAGAAAAAAUAAUUAUUUAUGGAUCAAAUUUAAUUUUAAAUUUUAGGUGAUAAAAAAUAAUCUUUCAUAAUUCAAAAUAUUAUUUCACAAUAAACAUAAACACAAGUCUAGGCUAAAGCCAAAACGCGGUGGGUGGGUGAGGUUUGAGCCCAAAACUCACUUUACUUAUAACAUUUUUCAUAUAACAUUUUGGAUACUUUUUUGUUUAAUUUUAACUUUUCACUUUAUAAACAUUAAAAAAGUUUUGUUUUUUUUUUUCUAUAUGGGAUAGAAUUAUUUUAAAGAGUUUUGGAUUUCACCAAAAUAUAUCAAUCAAUAGUUCUUUAAAAUCAAUUUUUCAUUCAUUCAUAAUUUAUUUGAUUCAUGUUAAUGUUUCAAAUUAAAAAACUUAUGUUAGAGAUUAAAUUCCAACAAAACUUUAACCCAAAAAGUUAGUUGACCUCACUCAAAUAUGAUGCACAAACCAUAUUCUUAAAUAAAAAUUUCCCAAAAAACCAAUAAAAUAAGUAAAAAAUAAAUUAUUCUAUAUUGAUACCAAAACCUCAUUUUCUAACAAUUACAAUUAAAAAUAAAUUAAAAAUAAAAAUACAAAAAAAACACUAUAAAUUGUAAUAAUAUUCUACAAUGUUUUUUUUUAUCCUUUGAAUUUUUUUUCUUCUGUCCUUUUAUGUUAUUUUUAUUUGGGGUUAAGUUUCGUUGUUUAUUCCAGAUAUGUAUGUGAGCAAUAUCAAGAAAAAACAUCAUUAUGUUGAUACUUGGUUUGGAAUAAUAAAAUGUUGAACAUUGCUAGGAUGAAUUUAUUGAGGAUAAAUAGCUUAAUGAUUUUAUCAAUGAUCUAGAAUUGGACUAUAUAUGGAUUAAUCAUAUACUAAUGUGUCCUCUCUCUUUUUUUAAUUGAUUAGGUCCCUUACUUGAGAAAUAUUCUUGAUGCCGUUCAUUCAUCAUGAUUCCAUCAUUUUUUUUUCAUUAAUGAGGACACCUGUAAUAAUAAUAGAAUGUUAUGCUCAAAAUCUUUUAAAAGAAAAUAAAAACAAACUGAUAAAUUCAAGAAUAAAUCAAAAUCAGAAUGCUAAGAGUUCUCAAUGAAUUUUAAGACAAAAUAUUUGAUUGAAAAUGGAAUGGGAAGAUAGAUAAUCCUUUAGAUAAAGUGGAGUGUUUUAAAUAUUAAUUUGUCAUAAAAGAGGAAAAUAUUAAUACUUAAGUCGCCUCUAUCUAUUUAUUUUAUUUCCAUUUUCCUUUUCUGUUUACUUUUAAUAAAGGGUAACUUCUAUUUUCUUUUCUAUCUAUAUUCUUAACCCCUUUUUCUUCUUUUCUUUUAUAAAUGGUGGGUUUUAUAUUUUCAAAUUAUUUAUUUUUAAUUUUUUUCAUUAAAAUAAAUAUUAACAAAUAUAAGUUCUGAAAUUUUAUUUUAUUUUUCAUGCUAGAUCAAUAUUUCUUUAUUUUUCAAUUUUUAUGAAUCUCAAAAAUCUUAAUUUUCAAUUUUUUCUUUGUUUUUUAUUUAUUUUUUCAAUUUUGUUUAUUUUUCAAGAAUUAUAUAUAUAUAUAUAUAUGUGAAAUAUGUCCACAUGGUUGGUGUCAAAAACCUCUAAAAUUUAAUUAUGGUUUUACUAUCACAAAAAAAAUAAUUUGUAGUAUGAUUGUGAAAAUCAGAUCGAAUACAAAAAAAAAUUAUCAAGUCUUCUUAUAAGAUGUUGAAAUCAAAAGUAUGGGAGUAAUUGAAUGCAAAAUUAAAGAAACAAAAUUCUGAAGAUAAAAAUGAUAAACCAAUAUGUCAUUAACUCAGUUCAAGGGUCUAUAUAUUCAUUUUUAUAAAUUUAUUGAUCAUGGAGGUAAAAUAAAUAUUAUUUCAAUUCAAACAAUAAUUUUGAUAUCCCUUAAAGGUAAAGAGAAUCGAGGAGAUUAUCAGUAAAUUAAUUAGAAAAAGCUUUUUAAUCAAUUUCUUACCAUCAAAUAAAUUUAAUAUUGAAAAGCAAUUUUCAUUCACUCGGCAGUAGCUUUAGAAGUAAAGAUUGUAAAAUUUAUUCCAAGCAACUGUUUAAAGCUUGAAAUAUUUUACUUGGCUUAUUUCUCCGUAAUAAAUUAAAAUUAAAGUUGCAACAAUUAAAUUAAUUUAUUUGCUUCUUAUUCUUGUCCCAAACAACAAUUAUGAAUUGAAAGAAACUAGAAAACAUAUAUGCUAUCUCAACCAAUUCAAUUAGCAUGAAUAGAAAUCAGUAGCAUAAGUUUAAAACAAGGGUGAAUAAGUACUUGAAUGUAAAAGAAUUAUAAUGAUAACGUUAUUUCUCACAACCCGUAAUGGAGAUGGAUUUUAUUCCUCUUAAACCGACUCAAGAAUUAUUUACUCAUUCUCAAGGAAUUUCCAGCAACCAAGAAUAAUCCUUCUUGAACAAUCUCCCAUGUAUUUGUAUUUCAAUAGGUAGCCUUCAUGAUAAGAUAUCAGGUCUAAAGAAUGGGAGAUUAAAAGCUAUAAAGAAAUUCUCUCUAAUCUUAUCAGAUUUCUUCUUAAUGAUAAGAUUUUCAACUAUCAGUUUCCCACUAGAUUAAGAUAUAAAACUCGUCUUCCAGCUUGUAUCAAGAUUUUUGUAUUUAAAAAGAUUCUUUCUGACCUAGAGUCCUUCAUAAAACCUCAUAAUUUUAAUAUCUAAAGUUCAAGAUAUUCACGUUUGGAAGUUUAGUGCUUGAACAAAUAAUCAUACUGCAAGUAGAAUUCAAGCUUGAUUUUGCAAGUCUAUCUAGAGGUCCAAACAAACUCGAAUUUAUGUACAUAAUACUUUUCUGAAAAGCUUGAUAUGUGUACUUCAACUUAGAUGAUCCCCUAUUUCAAUUUUGAAACUCGAACUUAGUGAAAAACUUGUCACAAGAAGUAAAGGUUCGAAAUAUAAAAUACAUAAUUUUUUGUUUUUUUUAGCAAUUAAUUUACGAAGUCUCUUAGGCAUACCAAACCAUUAAAAUAAUUUUUAAUAAGCUUUAAACACAUUAAAAAGUAUAAUAUAAAAGGAAUACAAAUAUACACACACACACAUUGCACUUAUAGAAGAAUUGAUGGAAUCAUGACGAGGGACAACAUUAUGAAAGCUUCAUGAGUAAAUAGACCUAAUCAACUAAAAAGAGUGGAGAGGUGAUAUUAAAAAAAAAGUUAAAAGUAGAGUAAUGAAAUAUGUGAGUGGGACAAUACACAAAAUAUUAAUGCAAGUCAAUAAAAUAUAUAAAAAAGAGGAAUUUAGUUUGAAGUUGCAUUAAAUAAUUAAUGGAUAUACUAAAAUAAUACUUAGUUGUUCUUUUGAGAUAAAUGACACAAGGAUAUUGAAAAUGAAAUGGAUUUGUUCCUCAGCAUUUUUUGUUUUGAAAUAACAAAAAAUAUUUUUAAAAUGAAUUUAUUAUAUGUUCUUUGUCUCUAUUCUUCUAGUUAAAUAUGUUUUUAUUAUUUUUAUAUUUAUUUCUAUUAUUCUGAAAUAUUAAUCAAACACAAUCUAAAAACAUUGUUACCCAAUCCAAUAAAAACAAAUGUUGUGGUUUUGCGUUUUGAAAACAUUAUUGAUGACUAAUACUUUCACUUUUAAUUUAGUCAAUUAUGUCAUUCAAAUUUUAGUUUUGGACAAAUGUUGCUCCUCUAUGUCAAAGGAUGGGGGAUCAUGACUACUGAUUAAAAAUAAUUUUUUUAGCAUGAUUAAAAUUCAAUUUUCUUCCAAAAAUGAUUUCAAAAUUUUUCAAGUAUAGAAAAAAUCUAUUUUGAUUUUUCCAUUAUUAAAUUUUAAAUUUUAAAAAAAUAUCCAAAUAAAAAUAUUUGAUUUCGUGUCACGAUGAGUAAUUCAAUCUUUAUUUUUAAAGAAAGGUAAUGAUCUAAAUUCUAUUGAAAUAAAAUAAUUUAGAAAUAUUUUUUUUUAUUAAUCUAAUUUUUUCAACAAAAAAAAAUAGUUUUUUUUUAGACAUAUAAUAAACAAAAACUGAAGACAACUGGUAUAAACAUAUAAAAUACUCAAGGAUAAAAAUGACAUCUCCUUAAUUAUUUAGGAGAGAGAGGCGACCUGUGCAUGCUGGAUUCACUUUUUAUAUAUUUAUUUAUGCAAAUAUGGGUCAGGUGUGGAGCCCUGUACUGUUUGUGACGCUGGAUCUAGUGGAAAAGCGCAAGUAUCCGUCGGUGCUGAGGCCAAAACGCGUGCGAUGAUUCAUUGGCUGGCUCUGGCUCGUCGAUGUAAGUGAAAUGUUGAGUCUUUUUCUACAGCAAAUUUCUUACACUUGUCCAGCCCCCAAACACACUGUCCACAGCUAAGCUGAGCGUACGAAACUUCCCAUGCCUUUCUUGGACUUCCAUUUCCUCAAGUAUAAAUACCAACCAGGCUAUCUCCUCGACAAUCCCACCUACGAGCUUGCAAAACUUUACUUGUAUAUCAUCCUUGGCAUCAAUCGUUUCAUAAUAGCCGAUGGCUUCUUUGAAUACUGUGCUUGUGCCCCUUGUGGCUCUUCUUGUGACGGUUGCAUCAGCAAGCAACUUCUACAACGAUUUUGAUAUUACCUGGGGAGAUGGUCGUGCUAAGAUCCUCAGCAACGGCGAGCUCCUCACUCUCAACCUUGACAAGGCCUCUGGCUCUGGAUUUCAAUCCAGGAAUGAGUAUCUGUUCGGAAAGAUUGACAUGCAACUCAAGCUUGUCCCUGGCAACUCUGCAGGCACUGUCACUGCUUAUUAUGUAAGUGAACUUGAUUGUUUGCCUCGAAUAAGGCACGAAACAAUCAUUAUAUGUGACUAACAGUUAACAUGUUUUUUGUCAUAUGAAUUUGCAGCUGUCAUCAAAAGGGUCUGCAUGGGAUGAGAUAGAUUUUGAAUUCCUGGGGAAUUUGAGCGGUGAUCCUUACAUCCUGCACACUAAUGUGUUUAGCCAAGGCAAGGGCAACAGAGAGCAGCAAUUCUAUCUUUGGUUUGACCCAACUGCUGAUUUCCACACGUAUUCCAUUCUUUGGAAUCCACAGCGCAUUGUGUAAGCAUCAAUCUUCAAUCCUGCUCCGUGUACAACAUUAAUACAUGCUGUGUUACUAAUUUUGUUAUCUUUUUCUCUGCUCCAGCUUCUCUGUGGAUGGCACUCCAAUUCGAGAGUUCAAGAACCUGGAGUCUAUGGGGGUUCCCUUUCCAAAAAACCAGCCGAUGAGGAUUUACUCGAGUCUAUGGAAUGCUGAUGACUGGGCUACAAGAGGUGGCUUGGUCAAGACAGAUUGGGCCCUGGCUCCUUUCACCGCUUCUUAUAGAAAUUUCAAUGCCGAAGCUUGUGUUUUGUCUAAUGGGGCAUCUUCUUGUGGCACAACCACUUCUCCUCCCGCCCCCACCUCGAAUGCUUGGUUCUCAGAGGAGCUUGAUUCAACAAGGCAGGAGAGGUUGAAAUGGGCCCGGGAGAAUUACAUGGUAUACAAUUACUGCAAAGAUAUCAAUAGAUUUCCCCAAGGUCUACCUCCGGAAUGCAGCAUGUCCUAGAAAGAUGACGUCCUUGCAUUACCUGUCCAAGUUUUGCCACAUAAGAUAUUCAAUUAGUUUUUGUAAUUUAGGCAAUUAAUCAAUUGGUGCAAUUCUUUAAUUCUUUUUCAUCAAUCAAUUGUUUGUAAUGUAAUAUGAAUCCGUAGUAUUUCGAUGAAAGUAAAAGAAAGAUUCCCAGCUUUCUCCUUGCCACUAAAAUCGUGAUGAGUUUCAUUUUUGCUGGGUUUCAUUCUCAACGAAGACAAAUCAAAAUGAGUAUGAUUUUAUGUCUUCACGCUUCCACUGUUAGUAGUAGAAGGUAGAGCAAGAGGCAAAAGGGUUGUUCGUUUAGAAACAUUG